CCCCUUCCCAGACCUCAUUUAAGGGCUGGUGGUGGAGGUGAGGGUAUUUUGCUGGAGGUCCGUGUGUACCUGAGGCCCUCUGAAGGUAAGCAGCUUCUUUCCUUUAGUUCUGUGCCUAUGGCUGUUGUGUUUGAGCAAAUACUUGCUGCAGCCUGGGAACUUGCUAUUCUGCUGUCACUGGUGUGCUUUCCGUGGUGUUACGUGUGAGGAACAAUAUCCUGACUCUGCAGCCUGCUCCUGGCUAUGGUGGCAUUUCUUCAAGAUAGAUCACCUGGAAAACACAGCCUAUUUCCUUCCAGUCCCUGGGCUUCUCUCUCCUAGUUGCAGCUCUCAUGUAACACCAGCCUUCAAAGGCCCCCGUUGCUGGGCCUGAUGCAGGAGAAGCACCAGCCACAUCUCCCUGCUCUUUCACUUUCCCUUUCUUGCCCUCUCCCUCCCACGUAAUGUCAGGGAAAUAUGCACAGAGCCUGGUAUCCCGUUAUUGCACCAGUGGAUCUGGGAAUAGAUAGCUGGAGGAGCUUAUGCUCAGGAUACAUCUCAGGGGCCAACUUCCACUGAAGAAGCAGACUACAUUUAAAGCAUUUGAAGACUUGUGGUUUGCGGCCGAAAUCCUGUCUGUGAGAGCUGGUAGUCACUGGUAGUUCAAUCUCCUCUUCUUCAGCUGGCAUUUGUCAUUAAAUAAACAGUGUGCUUCCUCUUUCAGCUAGAUUAGUACAAAUAGAGAGCAAUUCCGGCUCAGUGUCAGCUUAAAACAGAAACUGAAGGCCUAGGAUACUCGUUAUUUGUAAGGAGAAGUUCACAGAGGAGCAAGGUGCCAGAUUAAUGACCCAGGGGACCAUGAGUUUUAUUCAAAGAUGGCCUAAUUCCCAGCAAAGUCCCAGUGCCCAGUUUCCUCCUCAGCAGCCCUGCAUCUCUGAGAGGCUCCCUGCCAGGAGGAAACACUCAUCUCCUCCACAUAGGUAAGACCACAGGCACGAGCAGUUCUGCAAAGCCUUCCGGAGCAGGUGCACCAGGAGCUGGGCACGCAGGAAGCUCACAGCCUCGACAGGGAUCCCCAGUCCAUGGGUGCCUGAGACUUCUGCCACCAUCUGCAGCCGGGGGACUGGUUCCUGUGCCAUGGCCACCCCUCCAGCAGGAGAUGGACAGAGGUCAUGGCGUGCCUUUCACAGCUCUCCCCAGAAGGGGACAUGAAAAGGGGAAAUAAUAACAACAAAGGAUGUUGCUGGUUCUACACGCUUAUUAUUAGCGGAGGAAGGGCUGGGAUUAAUCACUCCCGCAGAAACAGCUGUAAAGGAUGGAAGUAGCUGAUCAAAGUGGACUUUGUUAUUCCCAGUGUAUCAUUCUGCUGAGCAAUGAGAACUAGCAUGGGGCACUGGAGCUUCAAAAGGGUUUUAAUGACUCCAAGGCUUGAACCAAGGACACUGCUGGAGCUAAUCAAGAAGGAAAUCCAGGGCAAGGUGGAAAUGAUGGAAAUGAGUGCUUUGGUCCGAGGAAUUUUUCCACAUCUUUCACUUCCUAAUUCCAUACCUUUGAGGUAAUAAAAUUUACAAUGAUGGAAAAAAAAAUAGCGGGACAAUGGGAAAUGUUCCUCUAUGGACUGGGCUACGUGUGGCUGGGUUGCACCUGAUUCCUGCGCCGGUGGCAGGGGGGACAGAGGGCACAAGGAGCCACUCCAUCUUGCCCUGCUGGCUUCUGACAAAACCACGGUCCUUCCACCUCCUCCUGUCCUAGGAUGGCCCCUCCUAUUGCCAGGCAGGUGAAAAGCACCAUGGAGGCUGGGGCAGGCCCCCUUUCCUCCUUGCUGACUGAAUGGAUGCACGGCAAGUUCCUUCUGCAUCCUCAAGUAUGCAGCCCUGGCACAGCCCUUCAGUCAGCUGCAGGGACAAGAAGUUGCCCUGUGCCGCUGUUGGGGCGAGCUAUGAAUGAGUGCAGAGAAUCUCUGAGCGAUGGCUGGGAAUUAGCUGUGGGGAGCCUGACUCGCCCCCACUGCAGCCAGUGGAGCUCUGCCAUACAAAAGCACAGGCACAUGUCUGCAGAACAGCUCUCACCCUAAUGUGGAGAAGAAAUACAUACUGUAAGGGGUGGCUUUGUUGAUGACACAUCCACCAUGUCGCUCUCUUCUUGCUUCCUUCGUUUCUUCCUUCCUUGUUUCUGUUUAUAGAGCAAAUAGAUCCAAAAGAGCACUUCCUACUCAGCAGUGCUAGCAUCUCUGAGACAGUCAAGGACAUGCUGUCCACAAACAGGUCUUUUUCCUGCCUGUGAAAUGUUGGUCCUCUUUUAAAAGAAAGACUCUGAGAGCAUUCAUAUCCAGACUGUAAGCCUAUCAGCGCCCAUCUUGCUUGGUAUCUCGCAUAAGCCCUGCCUGCCCCGUGGCCCAGCACACAAGGGCCAUGAGGUAUCUUCAGUGCUCUCUCUCUUUCUGCAACCAGAGAAGAUCCAUGGGUCUGUUUCUUGUCACUCCUGUCAGGAAGAAUCCAGCAUGCAUUUUGUGGUUGGAAGUCAAAACUGAGAGCUUUCCUUCCCCAAACCCAGCAGCUGCAGUGUUGUCUGUUUUGCUUUCUCAGCCUAAACAUGCAGCAGCAUGUUCUGCUGAGGGGCAAAUCAAGCGAGAUUCUGGAGCAGACAGAAGGAGAAAUAGAGGCCAAGGAGCACCACCUAGCAAGGGAACCCAGUGCCCCAUACAAGCCACAGCACACUCAGCAGCCCCCCUGCAGCAGCGAUGCACCAUGACUUAGUGAGUGCAUACAGAUUCCUGCUUCCUCCUUUCCCAGCCCAGUGUCUUAACUCCUCUGCAAUGGGCAAGGUGGACCUGACCUGCAUGCAGCUGUCCGUGUCCCUAGGGAUGUGACAUUAACUGAGGCUGGGAACUGCCCCGGCUGCAUCCCUUUCCUCCUG
Long non-coding RNA from Gallus gallus (chicken), 2895 nucleotides. Lineage: Eukaryota; Metazoa; Chordata; Aves; Galliformes; Phasianidae. The record is from Ensembl.